RNAcentral lists this long non-coding RNA (30878 nucleotides) under Eutrema salsugineum. RNAcentral describes it as "long non-coding RNA (ESAL_LNC000642)". Lineage: Eukaryota; Viridiplantae; Streptophyta; Magnoliopsida; Brassicales; Brassicaceae. The record is from RNAcentral.
AUCUCUCUCUCUCUCUCCUUCUGAGAUUUUGAGAGAGUCUCCUCUCUCUCUCCCUCUCGCUCCUCAUGAUCCUAUUUUUUAUAUUUAUUUUUAUGUGAUAAUUACAGAUACACGUUAUAUAUCUGUACGUAUAUCUAUCUUAUAUUGAUGGAGACAAUUACCAUUGGAAUCUGACCAUGGAUCUCAUUUCUUCUUGAGAUAUUUUCUUCUCCCUUUCUCUUUUUUUUUUUCCCGUCUCCCAGAUCUGCUCGUCAAUCUGACCAUUGGAAAGCUUCAAGCUUUUUUUUUUCUGGGUAAUUCUUUAUUUUAAGCAAAAAAAAAAAACAAUUCAUUGAAUUAUUAGAUUCUUAUUUUUAUAGGUUUUUCUUUACAUCUAAACUUGAAGUACGAUAUGUUUUUGUUCGUCAUGAAGUUGAUGCUUUUCCGUUUCCCUUUAUUGCUCUAACUGUUGAAAGUUGAUGAUUUUAGGAAAAUUUAUAUACUUACUUUGUAUUAUAUCUAUGUAAAUGUGCGUAAUGAAUAUAUGUAUAUGUGCUAUAGUCCUUCCUUUUCUGGAAAAUCUUGUAAAGCGUUUAUGGAAUCUUUCAUAAUAGCAUCACUUAUUUGCAUGUUUAGGUAAAUACUGAAAUUUAUAUUCUUGUAAAUCGUUUAUGGAAGGUUUUUUUUUGUGUGGAUGAUCAAUAUGUAGGUUUAUUCUCAUCAAUGGGCCUAAUAUUAUGAGGGUUUUGCAGAGGUUUUUUAGAUUAUCGGAAAUCGGAUUACAUAGGAACAGAAUCAGAAUUCUGAUAUUGAUUCCUUUCAUUUGAUUAAGCUGUCCAAUUAUGUACAUUGCUGCUGUUGUUGUUCUGCUCGCUGAUCUUGUUCUUGAUUCAAACAUUUAAGUUAUAGAAUGAGCUUCCAUGGAUGUUCUGGGUAAGCUCUAGUUGCCAAUAUUCUUGUUGGUUUCUCGUUGUGCUAGAAUGUUCAUGUUGAUCCUUUUAACGGGUUUGAUUUUAGUUAUUGAUCAGCUGAUUUUGCCAUUUUUAUCUGCGUUGUUCCCAUUUGAUAGGGACGGGCCAUAGAAUAAAAAGAGUUAGAGCAGACAAAGGCGCAAUGUAUUUCUUCGGCUUGUCCAAGGAAGAAGUGUUGUCACAGAAACAUGUUGUAUCAUAUAAAGAGACUUUUAAGAAGAACCCAAUCAAUAUGGUCACUCUGUUUGGGAAACAGGUAAAAGAUUAAAGCUUAUUCAGAUUCUAAUUUAGUCCAACUUGUGAACCUUUUGUUCCUUUCCCAUGUUUGUUGUUAGAAUAGAUUGUUCAUCAGAUUAUCAUCUCAGGUGUAUCCAGUGAAAAGCGAGAGCGGCACCAAGUCCGGUGAUGGAUAUACGACUAUAAACUCCCCUAAGCUGCUAGUGAAAGAUAUCAAUCUUCAGCUUCCUGCAGAUCACUACUACGCUUAUAAGAACUUUCCUGAGACACUUGGUUCUGGCAAAGUUGGUGCUUCCCGAAAUACCGUAGACUUGGGAUUUCAUUCAGUGUUUGAAGCUAACAAGGCUAAAGAAGCACCAGCCACUAAUUGGAGUGGCAAGAGAAACCCAAAUAUAGUUAUUGAUCUUGAAGAACCUCCCACAACAGAGCAAGCAGAUUCUGUUAGCUAUGUUACCGUGAGAGACUGUGAAACAAAGCCGUCGUUCUUGACUGAUCGGAUCAGCUCAGAUAUAGUGAAGGCCGAUCAAUCUCUCGUUGAGAAUAAUAGUAACAAAGCAACUAAUAUGGAGUCAGGUUUAUUUGAUCUUAACAGUAUCCCGGCUGAUGAGCUUGUUUCCGAGCGUCAUUACUGUUUCUUGCAAGAUCUGAACUGUCCGUACAUCGAAGAGACAGAAACGAGCUGUGAGAAGAGCGGAAUAGAUGAUGGUCCUACGCCACUUUCCUCUCCUAAAUGCCAAAACAUCCAUGAAAAAGAAGGUACAGCAUCUCCAGCUUCAUAUACUUCUUGCUGCACCACGGAAAACAACUCGAGGACCGAGUCAAGAAGAGGUUCCUCUCCAAGAGCACUGGAUCCUUCUUGCCGUACCCGGCUUGAGUUUCCUGCCACGGAAGUCUUACCGGAGAACAGAUGUUGUAACGAGGAAGAAGAGUUCUCUGAGAUUAUUCAGAUGGCAGCUGAAUCAUUAGUCCACAUAUCAGCGGUUUCGUAUCAAAAUCAAGACUUGCAAUCAAAGCCCGUUUCAAGAACCAACAGCUCAUCUCAAGAUCAAGACUUUCCAGAUAAACCAGAGAUGGGUAACGCCGCGGAGCCGAGAUGUUGCUCCUGCGAUUCAUAUGAGCUACACACAUUAGGAAUAAGCGAAACCAACACCGAAGAAGACUUCUGUGUCUCAUCAAUGGCUCUGGAUGAGCUUAAUAACAUCACGAGAGAUAACAACAAAGAGAUUGGACUCAAGCUUAGAAGAGGGAGGAGAAUGAAAAACUUCCAGAAAGAGAUACUCCCGAGCUUAAGUUCACUCUCUAGGCACGAGAUCCGCGAAGACCUUAAUAUCUUAGAAGCGGUUUUGAGAUCUAGAGAGUACAAGAAGAUGCAGGGGAAGACGAAAGAUGUCAAAUUCGGAGCAAACCCGAGAAAUAAACGUUCAGCGUCACAGAGGUAUGUUGGUAAAGGAAGGCGGAAAAAUGAAUGAUUUUUUAAUAUCUUCCUCUGUUUCGGAUUUUUUCACACAAAUCCUUCAUUAUGUAAUCUUUAACAGUCUUAUGUUGUUCAAUUCUUUCUUUUCUUUUUUGACUUUUGACAUUGAUUAUGGUUAGAGGACAAAGGUAGUGAGCCGAUGACUUCAGUUUCUCAUUCUCUUCUCUCUCAGAAUGUUACUUAAGUUGCUACUGAUUUGUUUGGGGGAUAAACUGAAAUGUGUUCUCUGAUGUCGGAAUCUUGGAACCUAUACAGUUCGUAAUCCAACAUCAUUACAUCAACUGAUCAUUCAUGGGCCGUGGCCCAUUUCGAUUUAGAUGCCUAAAAUUAUCGUUAUGGACUUCCCAUCUUCACAUCAAUGUUGAUUAGUCUCUGUUUGAGUUUCCAAGUUAGUUAAAUGUUGUAACCGACCGUGUUGAAUCGGUUCUGCCACUUUGGGUUUAAAAUUUUCUUAGCAUGUCUUCAUGUAUAAUUUUGUGUGCUGUGAGCGACUCAUUUUUUUCUUCCACAAAAUUACAUAAUAGUGUUACCUGUUAAUUCAUCGCGUUUUAUCGCAAAAGGAACCCAAUAAAAAUAUAUUAUUGUGUUCAUAUAUUCAGGUCUAUUUGUGAAAGCAGGAGAUAUAAAGGUUAAAAAAAAUAACCUGGAAAUAUAUUAACGAACCAACAUGAAAACAGAUAAAUAAAAAUGAAAAUAGAUGCCAAAAGAGGAAUCUACUCGUUAAUAAUUGAGUUCAUUACAGACCAAUUAAAAGAUAACCUCUUAAAUAGAAAAAGUUUCCUUUCCUGUCUUUUCUAAGAAAGACACAUUUAAAUUGAACUACGGUUCUUUAGACCAAAAGUUCAUGAUUACUGGUCCGUGAUUGGGUCAUGUAAUUUCCAGAUCCAAAAGUCUAACAUUAUUGCUUUUUGCCAAUCAUUACAUAAAUCAUAUGUUAUAAUAAUAAUAUAUCGCAGAAUAGGAAUAUAUGUUGAACAUAUUUCUUAAUUUGUUUUCAGAAUUAAGACGUAAAACUUCUAUAAAUUAAUAAUAUCGAGACCGUGUUAUUUUAUUAAUUUAUUAUAAUAUUAAUUUAUCAAUAAAUUAAUAAAAUUUAUAGAAAAAAUUGUUUUUUCUUCUAUUUUCUUCUUAAAAUUUAUUUUAAUUGAUAUUAAAUUUAAGAAUUUAAACUUAUAUGCUUACAAAAUAACAUGCACAAACUUAAAUUAUGAUUACUAAUCAUAGCAAUUGCAAUAGGAUAGUUAUUUCUAUUUGUUAAUUGUAAGCUGAAUUAUCUAUGUAAGAAUAUAAAUAUUCAUUAGUACAAAAUUAAUAAAAAUUAUGGUUAGUAUCCUUAAUAUUUAUAUUAAAAUUGAAGACAAUAACAUAUUAUAUUUUGAAACAGUUAUACAUAAGAAAAUCAACUAUCACAUCUAAAUUUUUUUCACAAAUUUUGAAUAAAGAUAAAAAAAAAUAACAUUAAAAGCUAUUAAUGUAAAUAAGUAAAGAUAUGCUUUUUAAUAAAAUUUCAAACCUUAAAUAAUAACAAACAACAAAUUAAUCAUAUUUUAGUAUAUUGUAUCUUAUAUAUAUAUAUAUACAAAAUUUAUAUAAUUAUUAAUUUAUGUUUAUGUUGGGACCAUAGAUUUACAUAGGAGUUUCAAACAAAUUAUUAUCUUAUUUCUUAUCGAAUUUGAUGAAUUUUUACAUUGACCCGACUCAGGACCUGAAAAUUUAUUAAUUUAUAGUGAUUAUUAAUUUAUCGAGUAUUAAUUUAUAGAGGUUCUACUGUAUACCGCAGCCAAUUGAUAUUUGCUUUGGACCUUUUGGUAAUGCGAAUUUUGGGUCAAACCAAUCUUAUUGACUCGGAUAAUAUUAACAAGAAAAAGAAGAAAAAAUAUAUGUCAAAAGAGAUUAUAAAAAAUGAUCUGAAUAAAGUAGAUAUCUCAUAUUCUAUACUAUAGAUACACGGAAUGAGAAAAGAAAAGGUUAUUUGUAAUUUUUUGACCUAACUAAAAACUAUAAAAUGAAACUAGUUGAGCUAAUUAUGUUAGAAUAGAUAGAUUAUACCUCUCACGACCUAUAGACUUUAUUUUAGCUCAAUUUAAAACAGCGGAUUUUGAAAGAAAUAUCAGAAGCAUAUCGUUAAAUUAUUAUAUUUUAGUUCAGAAAUCGAUGGGGUUUGAUUAAUGUCCAUAUGCAGGAAUGGAUAUAUAAUUGAUCUAUAUAGUGUCCAUGCCCGGAGUUAUCAUAUAUGUCCAAAGUCAGAAUUUAAAGCUACAUGAUUGGGGUUGAGAGGGCCAGAGGAGGGGGGGGGGAUAUUUGAAAAUUUAUAAUAUUAAAUUGAUCAUUUUGUAUCUGAAAACUAGAUAAGAGUUGGGAGACAACAGUUAGACAAACAAACGUGCACUGAACAUUCCUUACUGUUUUAUAUCGCAAGCAUAUUAGAGAAAUUGCUAAACAGAACUCCAUACAUUUAGCUCAUCUUCUAUAACUUUAGUACAAAUGCAUGAAUGGUUUAUCUUUUAGGGACAUCAAAUUCAAACCCCAGUUCAAUUGCAAAACAAAUUCAUUAAUAAUAACGGAAUUUAAUCUGUCUAGCUCAUCACAAAAAUAAACUGAUAAAACAAGAAAAGAAAAGAGAGAUAUUGAUUUUUGAUAUUUUUAGGCGAUGUUAGGGGAAAAAUCUAGUUAUUGAAUGAAAAUGGUUUUUUUAUUCCCUCUGUUUCAUAAUAAGUGUCAUUUUGACACAUUUCACAUAGAUUAAGAAAUUAAUAAAAUAUAUAAAUAUACCCCUAAUUAAUAUACUUUUAUAACAUUUAAUUACAAAGACUAUUAUCUUUAAAUGAGGGGUAAAACAGGAAAUAAGAGUAAAAAGUUACAUUGAAAAUGCAGAAUGACACUUUUUUUAAAAAAAAAAUGAAAUCUAUGAAAUAGAGGGAGUAAAAAAAAUUUGCUAUAAAUGCUUACUCUUUAUUAAAGAAAAUAUAAUUUUACUUCUUUUUUUGCUCUAAAAACAUUAAAAUAAUAUCUGUAAAAAACAUAGCUCGUACUAUUAUGUUGCAUAUGAAUAAAUUGAAUUAUACAUAUGUCGAAAAAAUAAUUAUUACAAUACUGUAUUUAUCUCGAUCUCUUCGCAUAACACGUUGUGAUCGUAUGGGACACCGAUGAUUCUUCAUCCAAUCAGGCAUCAGCACAUAGUUAAUUCAAAUUAGCUAGUGUGAUCUUAUGGGACAUGAUUUUUUUUUGUUUACAACUAAUGAUCAUUUUAUUAUAUUUGGAUUAUAGUUCCCUAAUAAUUCAAUCACUUGACAAAUAGUAACUGGGGGACCAUUCGAUCCUACAGAUCCUCAGAAUCAGGUCAUUAAUAUAAUUAUACGAAAAAAAUAAUAACUUGAAAUAUUCUGUUUUCGUAAUAUGGAAAAUUUAGACAAAAAGACGUCAACUGCGUUGAUUAAAUCGUAGAAUUUUUACAAUUUCUGCUUGUAUACAGACCCAAAUGAGGAAACUUUAACCUUUAUCCCUUAUCGGUCGGUCCAUUAUUUGUCGACUCGGAAACAAGAGGAAGAGGUAACUGAGAAAAUCAUCAGAAAAUAUACCACAAAAUUCAAAAUCAAAUUCAUACAUAUCCACAUAGACACAGUAUUCAUCAUCAUCAUCAUGAUCAUGCAUGACCCAUGGGAAUAUCCAGCUCAUCAUCCAACUCAAUCCCGACCUCAGCUAGUCUCUUGUCCUUGUAAACGUACCACUUGGAGAAAACGAGGAAAAUGAGGAAGUUCAAGGCAACAAGUACGGCCACAAGCCAAUAGAAAUUGUAAAGACGGCCCUUGUUGAGAUCGUUUGCGAUCCACGGAUGAGUUUUCCCGGUGAAUUUCUCCACGAUCGUCACGAGAACCGAGCUGAAGAAAAACCCUAACGCCAAUGUGCUUAACAACAAACCCGUGCUCAUCGUUUUCAUACCUUUAGGACACUCUCUCAAGAAGAAAUCCAACUGUCCUGUGUAGAUCAACGCCUCCCCUAUACCAACAAUAAGGUAUUGUGGGAUGAGUAGAUAAAACCCUAGAGGAAGCGUUUUCACCGUUGGACCAUGUGAAUGUGCGGUUCUAAGACGUUUGAUCUCUACCAAAGCAGCCACAGCCAUAGCCAUGGAUGCGAAUACGAGCCCUAAACCAAUGCGUUGAAGUGGUCUUAGACCUUGAGGGUAGUUGAAUAGCUUUUUGCAUAGGGGAAUAGCGACGCGGUCGUAGAGGGCGGUGGUUAGGAGGAGGCCACCGACAUAGAAGACGGCCAUUGCGGCUGGAGGGAUCUCAAAGCUCCCGAUGUGACGGUCCAUAGUCUCAGAUUGCGCAACCGAUAAUGUCGUUAAUUGAGCAUGGACGGUCCAAAAGAGGAUGCAUGUUGCCCAAAUUGGUAACAUCCGUACGAUUUGUUUCACUUCCUCAACAUCGGUUAGUGUUGAAAGUGUCCAUUUGUUGAAUACGUUUUGGGUCAUUGCCGUUUCUUGGUCCUUUAUUGCUGCCUUAUCCAACGAACUGCAGCAUCAGAAAUGAUAUCAGGAAUAAUUAGAAUAUAUUAAAGUUAACCAGUUAACAAACAAAAUGUAGAUUAUUAAUAUGGAAGAAAAAGUCUUUUUUUUUUUUUAUCAAAGAUAGGUCUAGUUCAAUAUCUUUUGUGUGUUUCUUACAAAGAGUUGGCUUGUUGAAAUUGAAAUAGAUACAUAUGUGAAAUGUCCCUAGUUAUUAACAUAUCCUCUUUUUGGAAUGUAGCCUAAGCAUCGAAUCAACGUGAUGUGGAGAUAAAACAAAAACAAAAAAACAAAAAGAAAAAGAAAAACAUGAUGUGGAGAUAGUUACGUGGAAUCAUUCAAGAUGAUAUACCCUUUACACAUGGCAAGAAACAGGGGGAAAGGUAUAAAAAGUGAAAGUUAUUUCAAUAGUCUCCUGACUCCCAUUAACGUAGAAAUAACCAAAAAGGCCAAAAAUAGACAAAUUGAAUGACGCAAGGAUCACGCAAAACACGUGCCGUGCAUGUGACAGUAGGGCUCUUUAGCCUAAUUUUGGGUCUGGCCCGGUGGAGGUGUAAAGUAGUGUAGGUGUUAAUACACGAAACAAUAUCGUUUCACAAUACGUCAACACAACUGUCUUCCUAUUUUUUUAGUAAUAUAUAGAGAUGGUAAAUAGUCUUUUUAUAAAUCUGGAAUUAUAAAAGUAAUUUGAUUCCUUUGGAUUCUUCAUUCUUGUGUGUCUAUUUAGGCAUGCAUAGGGAUCGAUGCACAGAAGAUACUGUACUUAAGGUUGGGAAUAAAAAAGAGAAGAUAUUGUACUUAGGGGGGGGGGGAGAAAAUUUCACGAGUCAGGUGUAUAUAUAUUUAAGUUAUUAAAUUCAGGCGAAUCUGUUGAUUAAUAAUAAUAAUAAUUAUAAUAUAAUAAAGUGAACCUUUUUGAAAUAUCGGAAACAUUUGAUUUACCGCAACUUGUGGCUAAAGCUACUCUCUUUUUGUAAAAACCAAAUAAUCCAACAGAGGGUGUAAAAUUUUCUAAGAUUUUUCAUUUACAUAGGUAAAAACUAAAGAUGGAAUACAGUAUUACCAACUUGCAUAUUCCUAACUAUCUAUAUUUAUUUUAAUCUGACUAUAUCAAAUCUUUCGGAGUAACUUCUCUUCUAUUUUUUUGGUUUAAGAGUAAAUUCUCUUCCUUUCUUACAUAUUUAUGUGUAUAUUGAACUUGACGUGCUAGCUAACGUAAGAACACACACACAUAUACAACUAUAAGAAGAAAAAAAAACCAAAAAUAUUGUAAUUAGCUGUAGAGUUUACAUCCUGGACCAGUUUCGUUGUAUGGUCGAGUAAUAAAAAUAAUAUAAUUAUUAUGAUAGUAAUGUUUUUUUCUCAUAACAAGAGAGACAAAGGAAAUUAUUCGACUCCCUUUAGUUGGCUUCUAAUGCCAAGUAGGCAUAUAAUGAAAAUAUCUGUGGUCCCCCUAUAAUUAAAGGACGCGAGCCUUUUGAGUUAUACAUCCCAUUCCCAGUUUCCCACCCACACAGCCCAACUUUUAAUUUUACAUUUCUCAAGAUUAUUAAUACUAUCUCGCAUUCAAUUAACCCUACACCUCAAUUAUUUUGAAAUUAACCAUUUUAUAUAAUAUUAAAUUGUCAAUUUUUAAAACAGUAUUUUAAGCUUCAUGAAUCGUACGUGGGAUUUGUUUCUCGUAGUAAUCUGUUUAAAUUUUAAUGAAAAAAUAAGAGUUAACUAGUGAAUAGAAAUCGUACCGGAAUUGUUUGGUAUGCGGCAGCUUUUGUUUACUCUUCAUCGAACCUUCCGCCGCAAUAACAUCGUCCAAGUCGUAGAGAUACGACGGAUCCGCCGGCAACUCAAGCCGUCUAUUCCUCCACGCCGCCACAAUAACCGCAGCAACUUGCGUCAUCGGGCUACCGAUCAACUUCUUGAAACGGUAGCGAUUUGUACCGGCCAAGAAAACGCUUAGUGCAAGCACGAUUGAAAACGCGCAAAGGCCAUAUCCCCAUUUACGUCCAACAUCGUCUUGUAUGUAGACAAGGACCGUCACGGCACAAAGAGAGCCAACGUUGAUGCAAAAGAAGAAACGGUUGAAGAAAUAUGUCAUUUGUGACCGUUCUUUCGGUUCGGUCUCAUCGAAUUGGUCAGAUCCAAAACCGGAGACGCUUGCCUUCACGCCUCCGGUUCCUAGAGCGGUGAGGUAUAAGGCUAGGUAUAGGACCGUCAGCUGUAUUCCACUCGCUUGCACGCAAUGAGACGACGUCGUUGGGUUGCAUCUUGGUGGUCUAAGUCCCGGUAUGAUCGUUGAGAGAGUUAAGAUCGAAACACCCUAUAAUAAUCAUGGUCAUUACAUAAAUAUUUAUUUUUCGGAAAAAUAAAACAAAAAUAAAAACUUAUGUCGUUUACUAUUUUGAUCGUCUAGUCAACAUUUAUAAUUUUUUCAUUUUCUUGGCUAUAAUUUAUGGUAAGACGAAAGGGACUUGUAAGGUCCUUACCGUUGCUUGGAUUGCGGCGAAUAUAGCAAUCGUUAGGUACCUAUAUGAAAAAAAAAUUAACUAACUCAAUUAAAAUGAGUAAGAAAAUGAAACGAUUUUCUUUAAAUUAUACAGGUAUAUAGUGAAUUUCUAUAACAAAUAUUAAACACAAACCUGCCGAGAAAGGUGUCAGCGAUGAAGCCACCGAGGAGACAGAGCAUGAAAGAAGUUCCAAGGAAGUUGGUAACGGUAUUCGCCGCGGUUGCAUUGCCUAAAUGCAUAGUUCCGGUCAAAUACGUCACUAGAUUAACGCCGAUGCCUAACGUCGUCAGCCUCUCCACCGCCUCAAUACCUUCACAUAGUUAUUAAAAUAAAAGUUAGAUACCUUAGGGAAAAUGGAAAAUACAAAUCAUACACAAAAAGAGAAUAACUCAACCCCAUUUUAAAUGAACUUAUAAUUUAUUAAACGGCAUGAAUGUUCAGGUAUUUUUUUUGAAGAAUAUGUUCAAUUUAAUUUUCCUCUGCAUAUUAAUUUGUCGAUGGAUUUUUCUCCAGAACUUUAAUAAUGUGAUGAAACUUACAGAGAAUCAUGGCAGCACUAGCCCAUCCGCCGGUUUUGAAGCGGUCGGCGGGGCGGCCUUGGAAGUCCCAAGCAUCUAGAAGGGUUUGAGAUUUAGUUUCAGGAAGAGACAUAUCUUGAAGAUGGAUGAAAGAUUUCUUUUGCAGUUUCUUUUUUGGGUUUUUUGUUCUUCUGGGGACACUGGUUGUUUCGUAAAUCACAAGCAAAGAAAAAAGGCUGUUUUGUUUGAGAGCUUUUGGUUUUCUUUUGUGAUAUCAAAUGUGUACAUCCUUGGAGUCUUGGUACACCUAUUUAUACUGGGAAACUUGCUCAGACAGAAAGUUUUAAUUUAUUUGAUUUAUAGUUCUUUAUACAUAGAAAUUAAAAGAUGAAGAAAAAAGUGACAGAUGUGUGACUCUGAUGAGUGUUGCUUGAUUGGUGAAAUAAUUAUAAAAAUAGAAUAUAUAUAUAUAUAUAUAUAGAAAGAGAAGAGAGAGAGAGAGAGAGAGAGAGAGAGAUAGAGCGACCAAAGCUAAAUAUUACCACUUCCUCUGACUUUGGAACUGUGAGUUUGAACUUUAGAUUUAAAAGUAAUUGGUCAUUUUGUCAGUGAUGACUCGAUGGCAUCAAACGCAUCAAUUUAACCCACCAUCAUGAGCUAUUAUUAUGUUUCCCUGGAAAAUAAUUCAACAUAAUUGAUUGAGGCAUUACAAUGCAUUUUCGUUAUUGUCGACGCAAGGCUAUUUUUUUCUUCUUCAUCCUUUUUGUUUAUCGUUUGCUUAGAUAUCGAGCUCUACUUGUAGGCCCAUUUUGUUGUUCCAUAGCACAUAACAAACAUUUAUUUUUCGGGAACCUUAAAAAAAUCUUUUUAGAUCUUGGAUUUUUUUCUUCUUUAAAAAAUUAGAAUAUUAUAUUAUGGUUUUACAUUUUUUAAUUAUUUUUUAUUUUUAUAAUUUUGGUAGUAGAGUUUACCAAUGAAUCAUACUGGAUACUAAAGAGUAAAGCGUAGUUAAAAAUUCAUAUAAAAAUAUACAUGCAUUGCAUUCCAGAGUAUAAGAUUACUAUAUAUUUUCUAUCUGUUGUUUUGUUUAAAACAUCAUUUUAUUGAAAAUCUUCUUUGGUUGUUCUAAAUAGAGAGUCGUGUGCAAGUUUUUUUCACUUUCACAUGUAAAUACUAAAUACACUCUAAUCCAAAUAUCAACAAAAAUGGCAUGCAAAGAACUUUCGUAAAACAUUUCUACAUCUCAAAUUAUAACUUUUUCAAAUACCAUUUGAGAAUACUAUUAAAUCGUACGAAAAAUCUAUCAAAUCACACACGCAUAUAUAUAUAUAUAUAUAAUAUAUAUAAAGGAAAGUCAACAAAAGUUAACUUAGGUAUUUGUUACAAAAUUGAAUCUAGAGAUUUGUAGAUUUGGUAUGAUUACAUUAAUGAACCAACUUUCUUCUUUUGUGUUAAUGGGAAAGUCUAGCUUGAAAAUUAACGGCUCAAAAUGUAUGCUUCUUAGACGCCACUAAAAUGAGUCAUGCUGGAAUAGGAUUAUGAUCUUACUUUUCAUUUAAUGAUAAUUAAAAUGAAAUAUUUUUUAAUCUAAAGUGUCUUAUAAUAGUCACAUGACUUUCAUGAACUACAUAGUUUUGGUUCUUUUAAUUUGUAGCCUUGCAAUUUCAAUGGUUCUCUUUCUAUCUUGAGAGAAUAGGAGUAUAAAGAAGAAGAAACAACGGAGUUUUCACAUCUUAAAAUGACACAUAUUUUAGAACCAAAAAAUAAAAUAAUUAAAUCAUCUAAAAAUUUGUAAGAGAAAGUAUGUUACCUAGUUUAGUGGAUCAGUCGGAUCGAAGUCUCAAAAAUGAAAACAAGUCAAUCUUCAUGAAAAUACAAGAAACUAUACGAAUAAUACUUAAAACAUACUUUUUGAAUUAGUUUAUAAAACUGAUUAAUGAAUUUAUAUCAUUUCAUAUGAAAAUUUAGAAAAUUUAGAGUAACCUCCUUCUCAUGACAUCUCUUUCCAAAUGAUCAAAUCGAUGAGAUACUGAAAUUUCGAACCCGAAAAAAAAACUCUUUAUUUAUCGUUGGUAGUUUCAUAAAAUUGCUAUAUUUACGGUAAUAUCCUCGACAAUCGAUUAUGUGUACACACAUCCAAAGAUUGCGGAAGAGCGAACAAAGGUGACAACGAGGAGUCUCAUCCAAAAAGAAGAGGAGAACGAGUGGCAAACCUAAAUUUAUUUUAAUAAAGAGAAAUACAUUACUACUCGUAUAAGAUAAUCCCUAAAUUCAAAAAGGGAAAAUAAAGAUGAAAAUGGAUGGAUCAUAAUUUUUGGGCGGAGCUAGCUUUAUUUUGCUUAUACGUAUAUUUCAGAGUAUCAGCAAUGGUGAUAUUUAGCCCAUUUUGCAUCGAUGUUUAACCAAAAAAAAAAUGAAAAAAGUAAUUAAAAUGAAGAAGCGAUGCUUAUUUGAGACCCAUAAGCGUUUAUUGAAUUUAAUAAUAUUUAAUAGUUAAGCAUCCCAAAAUCAGUUGCUCCAUUGCUGAUUUUAUUGGCACGUGAGAGUAGUGGGACUGGGACCACCAGAGAAUCUCCCCUCUCCCGCAGCGUUGACUCGGUCAUUUCAAGAAGAUGAAUCCAUAUAACACGAACAACCAUAACUUUUGCUUAGUUUUACUUGUCACGAUAAAUGAUUCAAAAAAUCAUUUAUGUACUGCAUAGUUACUAUAUUAAUUAUCGAUUUUUCAAAUCAAUUUUAUAUUUUAUUCGGAUUACUUCAAAAAAUCGAAACAAUCGAAGAAAGUAAAAUUAUCAAUUUUUUUUUUAAUUUCUAUAUUAAUAGAGACAAUUCAUAACAGAUGUAUAACUCAGUAUACAGGAGAAGGAUGAAUCUUUUUUAGAAUUGAACAAACAAAAUGUAACAAAAUGGCGAUACACAGUGCAUGUAAACCUUUUUUGAUGUUAUUAGAAAACAAAAAACCAUUAAAAAUAUUUUCAAUUUAGAUAAGAUAAUAUACUUUAUUCUAACUGUGGAAACUAAUAUAUUUUAAAAAUGAUAAUUUAAUUUGUGGUUUUCGGUUUUAAAUUUUCUUUAUAUUUAAAAUAACUCAAUGUCAUAUAUUUAAAAUAACUCAAUUAACUAAAGUUGUUUAUUUGUAUAACUAUUAUGUGAUGUGUUCUCAGUUUUAGGUUCAUAAUCUCUUUUGGUUCUAAAAUAACUUUUGAUAUUACUGCUAAAGAAGUAAAUCAUUUUUCUUUAGGAAAAAGACGUAGAUUUGGAAGAAAAAGACUCAAAUUUUUCCAAAAUGAAUCGUUGUUCACAAAGUGAAGUAUCGUUUCUGAAUACAGAUGUGUGGAUUCGCAAAUUACCAACACUUUUUAUUCGAACCUGCAACUUCGAGGGUAAAGUUAAAUAAGGUUCUUAUUUUGAGUUGGUACAAAAAAAAUUGUGAACUUGACAGAUUCAAUUAAAUUAAGCUGUAGGGUUUGAUGUGUAAGUGUAACAUUGACUAACUUAAUAAUUUAAUAAUAACUAUAUGAUAUUUAUAUUCCAGCAGGUGACGAGGGAAGAAGAAAAUACAGAUUCAAUUUUUUAGACGGAUUGAUUGAAUCAUGAAGAAAAGAGUAUCGAAUUAUAUAAUGAAUUGGACAUGAAUCCUUCGGAGGAUCCCAAAGGCCAUGGUUGACCAAACAUUGGAAUGACAACUUGUUCAAUAAUAGAAUGUUAAACAAUAUAGUAAAUAUAUAUUUGUUUUCUUCUUAUCAUACAGAGGAUUAUGUUAGAAUUAUCGGUUUGGGCGUCUUGAUUUCAUCAGUAUGAAAUUAGUUAACAACGUGUUUAGGAGAAACAUCAAAUUGGAUGGAAAUGAAAACAUCCACUUGUCACAAAACGGUGAAACAAUACUAAUCUUAUCUGCCUGACGUCAAAUUUUUUUUUGCUUUUAUAGAUAAAUCAUUACUUUUGUUUUUCAAUAAGUCCAACUCUAGAAGGCGAGAAAUCGAAUUAAUCAAGCAUUUCGAACGAUGUGAUUUGAGUAAAAAGAAACUUAAUUAUAUAGAUAAUAAGAUAAACAAAACAUUAUGAUUGAAAUUUUUAACCAACAACCUCCCCCACUAAAUCAUUGUAGACAUUUGCAUAUAUAUACAAACGAAAUUCACAAUAGUUUCACGGGCAGUUGUGAAAGUGAUUUUAACCAGGUUGGCGUAAGGAUUUUAAGAGAUUCUACUGCAAAAAAUUGCAUAUAUAUUUUAUUUUGAGAACUUUACAAAUUUGUUUACACAAUUAAAAUGAAAACAUUUGUCGUGCCUUUGCAAACCACAAGUCAACUCAAAUCUCACAAUUAUAAUUGACAAUUUAUCUAACUAGUAAAUUUAAUAAUUAAUUACAUUUGAAGUAUUGAAAUAGCUCACCUGUGGUCUACCAAUCACGAAGAUAGUAUCGGUUUCAAAAUCCAAUAUAAUAAUAUCAUGAUCAGUAACCUAGAGCGAUACAAGGUUUUUAGGUUAUUAGAAAGAAUUGUAAAUGGUUAUAAAAUAGUUAAAAGAUGUAAGUCAUACUUUUAAUAUAUAAAAAAAACAAUAUAAAAAGUUGAAUGUAACACUUUUGAUAACAUUUUGAGUACUGUUUUUGUGAUUGGAACUUUUAAAGUUAUAUAUACCUUGUAUCACACCGUAGAAGGUUACUAAUCAAAUUCAUUGCACUCAUCCGAUUAAAGUAACCACAGUUGAGUUAUUCAAUAACUUGGGUGUCUCUGGUCGGACUCAAUAUUUAAAACGAAGAAAUAUAUAACUAACUCAUCAUUAACUAGAUGAUGACCGAUGGGCGGCACAAGCAAAUAUUAAAAAGGUCAAAUCCUAUAUAACGAAAAAUUUGAUUAUUUUUUUUGGACUUUUGGUGACAAAACCGUAAAACCAUUGACAAAAGAGUAGAAGAGGAGCUGUCACAUUUACUGAGGUUCGAUAUAAAUGCUUACAGUCCUUUGAGUUUGCGGAAAAAAAUUUUUUUGUGAAGAUCAUUGAGUGAUUAUAUGACAUAUCUAUGUUUUGUAAAAACGGCUAAAAUAAAAGUUUGUCCGGACCGGAUAAAUCCACUAAAUUAACAAUUGUAUAUGGUUUGAGUAACUUAGGAAUUUGUUUACUAUGUAACUUAGGAAUAGUUGAUGAACCUUAGAAAAAUCUGUUUGUAGUGUUUCUACUCCGCAGAAUUUCGUGAAUAUGGUAUCCGAUCCGUUUUCAUGUUCACAUUCGAAUAUUGCAACGGUUUGUUGAAACCUAGUGAACACGCAAUUGUACAUAUCAAAACUAGUGAACACAUAUAUGGCUAUGCAUAUAUAUAUGUACAAAGUUGCAUUCAUCAAUCACGGUAAAGUCCCAACUUAUUUUUGCAAACGGGAUAAAAAGGAAUAUGGUAUCUGUUUUCAAGUUUUAAUCACGACAUUUGUAUAUAUUUAUAAAAUAUAUGAAAGGCAAACUAUAAGAUAAAGAAAUAGUACGAGCAGAUAACGUGAAGAGGGGAAUCGAAAGUGAAAGAUGCCUUACAUCACUGCAAAAUAAAAAUGAUAUUGGUAAGUACGUCGUGCUUUUUGGAAAUGAACCAAACAAUUCAUAACGUGGGCUUUUUGAUGCUCUCAAAAGACAUAUAAUUACUAAUUAUAAUUGUACCUAAUGUUAGUUAAGCAAAGGCAACUUAUAAUUAGUCGGGGUCGUUUCACUCGUUUGUAUAAACGUUUACAAUGUCCUAAAACGAAACAAAACAAAUUUGUCAUUUUUGGAAAUGAAAUUUCGAUCUCUUAAUAGACAUAUAUACAGAAGAUUUCUAAUAUUUCAACAACAUUUCAGUUUUUUUUUUGUUUUGUUAAAAAGUCUUCAUUCAACAACAUUUCAGUUUCUCUAACUUAAUUCAUAUGUUAGCAUAUAUAAGAUUGAAAUAGCAGUUUAAAUGUGAUAGUUUAUUAGAAGUUUUUGCUUUUCGAUAAGCUAUAAGAAGUAAGAACAUGAAUAAGUUAUUAUUGAUGUCGACAUGGUCACAUGACUCACAUUACAGGAUUUAAAAUUCGGUAAUGCCACUCCGAAUGGUUGACUUAAUAAUAAUAAGAAAUAUGUUUUUGUGUGCUUCUUUACAAUAAUUAUGAUGAAGCUGAUGAAAUUAUUUUGGCCUCCAAAUGGAGUUUUUGAGUUUCCUAUUUCGUAUAAGGUGAAGUAGAGUCGAUCGGCCUAAAAUCACGUACAGAUUUCUAAGAAAAAUGGAAUUAAGAAAAAAAAAACAUUCUAAAAUCUACAGGCAUUCUGGCAUUAUUCCAGCUAUAUAUUGGUAAUUAACGGUAUGUCUAGUCUCUUAUUAAUGUGUUAUAAAAUAUAAUUAUAUUAUAAAUAUAAUAUUGUUAUGAUUUUCUUUUUAUCUUGAAUUUGGAAACUAGUAGUAUAGAAAAUGUAUUAGACUGGUGAAAUUUGAAGUUUUUCUUAUAAGAUCAUCUGAUUUAUGGACGGACAAAAUGCCUUAAUUUUGGGGCUGCUUAUGAAAAAAGGUAAGCAAAUGACACCUUAACUGGUAUAGAAGAUUCUCUAUUGGUGUCCAGAUAUCACCAGGCAGGAAACUGCCAAAAGAGAUCCUUUUGAACUUUUUAUUGUUUAAAUUUUUAAAAGUUAGAUCUUACAGAUUCUUACCCUCUUCAAAACUAAUUAUUGCCUAUGUUGUGACUAUGCAAAGCUUAUACAUACAUGUUUUUUUUUGGUGAGAAAAUUAGCUAACUAGGCAAACUAUUCUGUCUCUCCUCAAUUUGAAAGUAUUUUUCCAAAAUAAUACAUCAGCAUUAAGAAUUACAUACUGUAAAAGAGAUGAUAUCUAAAUAGGCGAAAUAUAAAAGACGACUAACAAUAGAUUAUUUAUUUCGUUGUCAAAUAUUUUUGAAAUUAAAUAUCAUAAAGGUUCACUAAUUAGAUGGAAGGAUGCUUUCGCUUUGCUGUUCAAAAAUAGAAACAUGCUUAUGCUUUAAAGCAUGCAGUUAAACGAAAAUGUGUCCAUAUAAACCAACCUACACAACUUAGUGGUUGAGAAGCUACUAAUUGAUCAAGGUCGCGAACUCACGACUUUUAGAUACUGUUAUUUUGUAUGUUGGUUAUAUUAUUUAUAGACGUUUAAUUAUUUUUAAGCUGCCCAACCUAUACUUUUAAGUGGAACUGAAUUUCUACAAAUUUUGUAACUGGUUGUUUUUUUAAAAAGAAUUUAGCUGUAUGAAUAGUUAUAUCUUAAAUAUUUUGAGACUGAUAUAUUUGUUACUCAAAAUCUCUGCGUUAGAUGUGACUUAUAGCCCACGUCAAAAAGUGAGACAUGGACUUGCUUGCAAUGAAGUUUCCACGUCGUGGGUAUUUGAAAAAAUUAUUUUUCCCUUUUUUUCUUAAGGUUUAUGUUGCUAAAAACAUAUUACAGAAUUUGAUGGAUCAUAUUGUCUCGUCUUGGUUAUAGUUUAUCGAUAUAUACAAACACAAAUACCUGCAUUCGUAUAUAUACAUAAAAACAAGAAAGUAAAAAACCAUUGACAAUUACUCACAGACUUUUUAAAAUAUAUUUUAAUGUUCACCUUGCAAAUGUAAUUGAAAGACACCCAUGUGCGAAAAAUCAAUGAAAAGUAUUAAGUAUUCACUAACCAAUAAAAGUAGGAGGGAGACUUGUUCAACCUAAAACAUAGGCAAUUUUAGUUUUGCUAAUUUUUUCCAGAAAAGACACCUGAAUAAUGUCAAAUCUUUUCAUGGAAAUCAAGAUCAAGUUGCCCACCCAACUAUUAUCUCCGUUCGUUUCUUUGUUUAUUUGCGAACAUUUUGCUUUUGCAUUCAAAAUUACAAUAUGUUCAUACUUCAUCAAUUUCUUUUUAAUUUUAAACGUUAAUGCAAGUUGAUGGUGAAUUCCUUUUACUUCUAACUUAAACUUACAAUUACACGUCAACAUUUUUAUUUAACCUUCUCUCUCUGUCCUCUCCAUAAUAUAUAGAAUACAAGUAUGAAGUAUACAACUGUUUGAUUAAGUUACACAAAAAAAAACUGUUUUGAGCUUGAAGUAAUCGGGACUUACAAAGUUACCAGUAUAAGUUGUCAGAUUACCUACAAAAAUCCUACGUAGGCGAAAAAGGAACGGCUAGUGAUUUUUCCAAUGAUCAACUUGAAAUUACACAACCCGAGCUUCUCACUUCACAGGAACACAUGCACUCCACUAGCUACCAUAUACUAACUCAGUCAACUUCAUUUGAAUCAUCGAAUGGCAAUAAUAUAACUAUAUUUAGAAAUUACUUGGUUUAGAAAAUAUUUUUGAUCAAAAUGUUGAAUUGUGGAAAAAAUGUACACCUAACCAUUGAACCAAUAUACAAUUAAUAUAUAUAUAUAUAUAUAUAAUGAGUUAAAAGCUUACAAGAUAUUUACAUAGUUAUAUAUGUAUAGUUGUGUAUCAUUUUGUUUAUUAUAUUAUUUCCUGAUUUUAGUAAAAACGUGUAGGAUAUGGUAUCUAGAAAUACGUAUGAUUGUCCAUAUUGAACGUUUACCUUAUUCUUAGCAGAUCUGAAAUGUACACUCUAAUAAUAAAUAAUUUAUUCGAGAAAAUAAUAUAAUAAAGAACAUUAUUUGAACAUUUAACAUUCGGAAACUAUUCACCAUGUAUUAGCGUUGAAAUAAAUCAAAACUGUGAGUCAAAUCUUCAUUGAAAUCCCAAGUUUCCGCGUCGCGCAUCUCCAUUUGCGCUUCGAGGAGUUGUCCAAGAGUCACUAGCUUGAAGCUCACAUUACAUAGACAUUUCAACGUAAUAAAAUUAAUUAAAGUUUCUAUAAAUACAUAAAUAUUUCAAUGCCGUUGAAAUAUUAGCUUCACAAUGACGCUCAAGAAAAUCAAUGUCGUCAAUGAAACAUGAACUUGAUAAAUAUAAAUACAUAUAUUAUUUUUAUUACAUUAUCGUUGGAAUUCAUAUUUAAGAUAUCCUAUGGCAAUGGCAGUUUCUUAAUCUUUUAAUGAAUCAAGUUUAACUCUCGAUCGAGUUUUCGCAUCUCAGAUUUGAUUUGCAGUUUCUGUCAGAAGUUUUGAGUUGUUUUGAUAAAAUUGACUACACGCUCUUAUUGAUGAGCCACAUCAAUCUAGCUGAUACGGUAGUUAACUAUGGGCCCAAUAUUUAUCGAUGGGUCGAAUCUUCGAGUUCUUACGGUGAUUGAAUUUGGGCUUCUUGUUUUUUUGUUCUCGCCAAGUGAAGGUGGAAUCUUGAUUGAAGAUAAUUUAUAAUGAUAGGUAACUAUUCAAAAAUAUAAGGAUUAAAAUAAAAACUACAAACCAGUAAAUGAUAUAAUUUCGAACAUGUGAUCUGCGCACACUUCUCUAGGGUGGAUCGAUACGACGAUACAAACAAAGUAGCUCCUGAAGUCUGUGGAGGACGUCGCGACUCUUUAUCUUCAUCUCUUCACUGUGAUGGCCAGGUUGAAGUUUGCCAUCGAUAUCAUAUUAUGUUCAUUGUUAAGUUCGAGUUGUCUUGUGUUCUGGUGUAGACAUGUAUUGCCCUUCCCCAUUAAAUACAUACAUGUAUAGCCUGUUUGGGGCUCGUAUCUCUUUAUUUCUUAUGCAAUUCAAUAAAAAGUGUUUUAAUAGUCACAUAAUUUUCUUUUAAAAUUUCACUCAUAACGUGGGUUUUCUUCGAAAGUAGUAUGAUCGACACUAUAAAGAAAACAAAGUUGUAAGGUUAGAACUGUAUAGCUAGUCUGUAGAUCUUGGAUUUAUAUGAAUAUGCAAUUUUCUUUUUUUUAAAAAAAAAAAAAUUGAAUUUGCAACUUGCAUUACCACCAUUUUAGGCUUUUAAAAUUUAACUCAACUUUUUAUUUAUCGAUAAAUUCAACAAGGGACCAAGGGGUAAAAGAUCUAGCCAUGCACGUUACGUACAAAUUAUUUUAGUUAUCUUUUACUUCUUUAGGUGGUGGCAUACGCAGAUGGGUCGUGUCACGGGUUCCCAUUUCCUAUUUUUUAUACCAAGUUGCAAUAAUUUUAAUCUCCAUUAUAUACUUUGAUUGUUAAUGUAAAAAGUAUCAUGUAUGCUUCUGCUUUGGACAUACUAAUUCGAUCUCAACAAAAGAGAGAUAAUAUUCGCUAUAAUCUACAAAUAUACUCUAUACAUAAUAGCCGGCGCAAGAAUAUUAGCAACCGGUUCAUUAAUCUUCAUAACCCGUUGUGAUCUGAUUAGUCAAGAUCCUGAAUCGAUUAUUCUUGUCAAUUUAAAACAUCUAGGGUGAAAGAUUGAAAUCGGAAUCAUAGUAGAAAAUACAAAUUGGGUAUCAUGGCGAAUCCAACUUGAUAUUUCUAGUGUAUCCCAUCAUUUAUAUUGGCAAAAUAGAAUUAAGUUUUACUCGGAAAACCAAACUAUCUGAAUAUAGUUAGUUGCACGCCCUCAACACAUUUGAACAGUGAACAAAUCGCAUGACUUAUUUCUUCUUCUUAAACAGAUAAAAUCUUACAUCAACCAAAGUAGGAAACGACUUAAACAAGAAUACUUGCUGAUUGAAUUAGACGAGGACCGACGAAACAAACAGAAGCAAUAAAAAACACAAACAAAUCGAACUUCUCGAUCUAUCUAUCCAUGGAUCCUAAUACUCAUUAGGCGCAAAUGAAAUCAGAGGGAAGCUUUUUGCCGCAAGUAUUGAUAAGCAAACUCAAGGAGAUAGGAAUAUCGAUGUUAAUCCCCAGAAUGUUAGCUUUGAUGGCGGUACAAAGACAAACGGCAGCUUCAAGAUCGACCAGCCCUUGAAGAACUGAGCAGCAAGGCGUGUCUGGUGGAUUCCCGAUGACUGUUCCGACCGCACCGUCUAGUAUUUUGGCGCAAACUCCUAGUUUUAGGGCGUCUCUUGGGCAGCUAUGCUUUGUAGGAUUGCUGAUAGGAUUAGGGUUAGGGUUUGGGAUUGGCUUAGGUGGCAAGCAAGUGUUGCAGCCACUUACAUACGCAAAAAACAUGAGAUUAAGAGAUAGGAAGAAUACUGCAUGAAAAGAUCUGUAGGAUUCCAUUGAUCUCUAAGCUACUAAACCCUAAACAGAUUUGAUUAACAGUGUGACUAGCUUUGGGAAUAAGUGUGACCGACAAUUAAGGCUUAUAUAGGCGCAAGCGAGUGAACUCCGACGUGAGCCACAAAGAUUCGUGUAUUAAGAAAAUUACUGCGGAGGUGCUAAUAUUAAUUACCAAGUUGAUAUUUCUUAUAGAUGCGCUUUUCGAUUAAUUAGGAGAUAAUAAUAGAAUUAAUCGUAGUACGUAUGUAAUAAGCUUGUUUCCGUUAUAUUUUAUUAAUUACUAAUAAUGAACGUACUUGAACUUGUUUGUGUGUCAGUGUGUGCGCAUCUACAAUUGAAACUCUAAACAUUGUCGAUAUUAUACAUAAUGCGGUGAAAUCAUAUUCUUUCGUUUCAACAAGACGUUGCAAUAAUAUUUUUUAUAUGGAAAUUGUUGUAAUGCCUCAUUUUCUAUAUGUAUGAUGGCUAGUAGUAAUACCAAAAUCUCAUGAUAACUACCAUUUUCUGUCUUUUCAAAAUUUCAAAAUACUUAUCUUCUAAAAUUUUAGAUGAUCAAAUGUAUUGUUUUACAAUAACUAGCUCGUUUUCGCUGGCACAUAUUUUAUCAAUUUUUAGUAGAUCACGUAAAGAUCUGAAAAUUACUUCACGAACCAUGUUUUUAUCAUCUAUUUUUUGUUUUCUAUUAGACUUGCUGACAAAUAAUAUGCUUAAAUUUCUGGCGAGUUACGUAGUUGAAAUUGUUUUACACUGCCCUAUUAUAUGCAGAAAAAGUUAUACCUGUCGAAAUAAAUAUCGAAUAACCGAUAUUGUUCCUUAUAUAAAAAAAAAAAUUACAGAUCCGGCCAUUACCAGGAUAAGCAUACUUUAAUAUCAAUAUUUUGUUGUUGUGUGGAUCACAGGAAGAACCAAUGGGCGAUUUAGAAUUCUUAUGCAAACCCGUGAAGUGAACAAAAAUAAUAUGUUUUAAGAAAUAAUAAAAUAUAAAAUUUCCUUAUGCACAAUAAUUAAAAUCAUGUGUGGGGGCUGAAGACCAAGUUGUAGUUUUUUUUAAAGGUACAGUUUCUAAUUGUGAUUUUUAUUUUAUUUUUUCUGGCCAAAAAAUUAUCGUAAUGCAUAUGCUAAAAACGAUAUAGCGAUGAAAAGUAUAUGCUAUAUAUACGGGGUAAAACUACCACUAAUAUUGAAAUAUUUACAAUAAUAAAUUCGCCUCUUCAGAACAUCUUCUAGUUUUAUGUUUUUUGGUCGGACUUUGAGUAUGUCUUUAAUAGUGAGAAUGUUUUGGCUUCACAGUUUUUUUUUUUUUUUUUUUUUUUAAAUUGGCGUCUGGUAGAUCGAUAUGAUAGCUACAUAGGCACUGACGAGCAAGUGGGUACACUGAACUGGAAAAAAAAACUAUUAAUUAAAUAAUUAUAAUUUUUAAAGUGAAACCAGUCUCUCGAAGUCUUUGAUAAAAUAGCUACUUUUUGACUGAGUUCCUUUAUAAAAUAAAAAUAAAAAUAAAAAUUCAACCUUAACUGGUUCAGAAACUUUUGUAUUUUAGACUCAUUUUAGCAUUUAAACACUACUUCUGUUUUUCUUUUAGCUUUUAUUUUCCCUAAAUCCUCGCUGUGUUGGUUUAACGAAUCUUUGCGGAUGAUGAUGAAGAUCACUCAUUCUAUUUAGUGAAGAUUCUUCAUGCAUCAUGUCUAAACAUUUCUUAUUGUUUGUUUUUAUAGUUAUGAUGUGUGAGUAGCUACCCAACGUGGAUAUAAGAUACAUCAUGCAUGAGAAACUCGUGGAAUUAUGCUUGAUUUAUGAUUCUUUAGAAUUGUUUUUAGUGAUUUACUUAUAGAAUGUUUCGGAUUAAUGGUGGUCACCUAGUUUUAGAAUCCAAAGUAAUCCAUGCAAUAAAAAUGCUUGAUGAAAUGCUAAUGCAUACAACUCUAAUGUAGUAAAAUUAGUCCAAUCAACCACCACAAAAAAAGUGUUGAUAACAUCAAAUAAAUUAUAUCAGAAAAAUAAUUGAUACUAAUUAGAGUCAUUUAUUUACAAGUGACAUAAAUUAUACAGUAUUAACAUCAGUUAAUACAAAUGAUGUUAUUAUUAUAGAAAUCAAAGUUUGCUAAGAACUCAAUAACAAAGAAUAACUCUCUUUAUUAGCUUAAGAAAAUAACUCAAAACUUAAGCUCUCAAACACAAACUCAUAAGUUAUGUCACAACUUUGACAUCUCUUUAUAUAAUAAUUUAUUUCCUUUUCCUAAUAGAAACAUGCUUUCCUUUUUAGAUAACUCCUAACAAAUCCUUAGAUAACUCCUAAGAUAUUCCUUAUUCUAAUAGGAAACAUAUAAGCUUGCUUCUAGAAUGUUAACUUCAAGCUUAAGUCAACAUUCUCCCCUUUAAGCUUGAAGUCUUCAUCAAGCACACUCUGAACUCCCAUGAGAUCUCUCAUCUCUUUGAACUUGAUCCUCCCUAGUGCCUUAGUCAAUAUGUCUGCCUUUUGCUCAUUACCUGGAAUGUGUUCGACCUCUACUUGCCCAUUUUCAACACAUUCUCUUAUAAAAUGAUACCUUGUGUGAAUGUGCUUACUUCGCCCAUGGAAGACUGGAUUCCUUGUAAGAGCAAUGGCGGACUGAUUGUCUAUCCGAAUGAGAACUUUCUGACUUGAUGCACCGGUGAUUUCACUGAGCAGAUCUUGUAGCCAUAUUGCUUGUCUUGCAGCUUCUGUGCCAGCCAUAAACUCGGCUUCACAUGAUGAUAGAGCUACAGUUUCUUGUUUUUGUGAGCACCAAGAGAUCGGACUAUCUCCAAGAUAGAAGAUAUGACCGGUUGUGCUUUUGCCAUCGUCAGGGUCCACAUUGUAGCUACUAUCACUAAAACCUGUGAGCCUUGGUGUUUCCGAGUUCGAACGUUUGAAGGUCAAUCCAAAAGUAGUUGUUCCUUGUAGAUACCUUAGACAAUGCUUCAUUGCUGCUCCAUGAGACACUUUAGGUCUCUGCAUGUAUCUACUUAAGACUCCUAGACAAUAAGCCAAAUCUGGUCUUGUGUGAAGUAAGUAUCGAAGACAUCCCACAUUCUUUCGGUAACUUGUGGCGUCGAUAUCCUUCUCUUCUUCAGACCUUGAUAGCUUGAGUCCUGAAUCCAUUGGCGUAUGAGUCAUGUUGCAAUUUUCCAUUCCAGCUUCUUCUAGAAUUUUUAGUGCAUAACGCCUUUGAUUCAAUGUUAUCCCUUCUUUGCUUUGACACACUUCUAUCCCAAGGUAGUAUGUCAAUUUACCAAGAUCACUCAUUUCAAACUUGGACACCAUCUGUUCCUUGAAUUCGUAGAUGUUCUCUCUUUUUGUUCCCGUAACAAACAAGUCGUCUACAUAGACUGCGACAAGAAGAAGAUUUCCAUUUAUCAAUCUUCGAUAUACCGAGGGUUCCUUGGAGCAUUUUACGAACUGCAACUCCUUGAGAACCUGAUUCAAUUUAUGGUUCCAGGCUCUUGGUGCUUGUCUUAACCCAUAUAAAGCUUUGUUGAGCUUAUAUACUUUGUCUUCUCUCCCCUUUACUUCGAAACCCUCUGGUUGUGUAACAUAGACAGUUUCUUUUAACUCGCCAUGAAGAAACGCAGUUUUAACAUCCAGAUGAUGUAUUUCCCAACCAUAUGAUGCUGCUAAGUUGAUAAGGAGUCUGAUCGUCUCUAUUCGUGCAACAGGUGCAAAAACUUCAUCAAAGUCGAUCCCGUACCUCUGCACAUAGCCUUUAGCGACCAAACGCGCUUUGUACUUGUUAAUACUUCCAUCUGAAUUCCUUUUGACCUUAAAUACCCAUUUUAGGCCAAUCGCUUUUGCUCCCUGAGGUAAAUCGGUGAGAUCCCAUGUGUGAUUCUUUGUAAUGGAUCGUACCUCAUCUUCACACACGCUUAUCCAUUCUUUUGACUCCUUUGCUUCAGCAAAAUUUCUUGGUUCGUUAUUUAAACACAACAGGAGCAUCUCUCCUUCUUCUUCGCACAACAUUAUGAAAUCUUCAAGAUGCUUCAGUUUUGUCCUAGGUCGCGUUGACCUUCUUAGAACAGGUUGAACCUCUUCAUUCUCUGUUCCGAUCUCAUUUGUAUCGUACACAUCUUCUUCUUCAUUAUUGUGUUCGAAGUCUUCAUCCUGCCCUGUCUCUGUUCCUUCAUGCUCUGUUUCGACAGCCUCAUCCUCUGUUUGCUGGAUUCCAUGAUUUCUGAAGCUUCCAAGGCUGAUCUUGAAGUCACCUGACUCGUUUUCUCUGAGUUAGUAUGACUCCAAUUCCAUCCCUUUUCUUCAUCGAAAAUAACAUCUCUACUUACUACCACCUUUCUGGAUUUUGGAUCAAGUAGUCGGUAUGCUUUUGAUCCCGGUUCUGUCCCUAGAUGAACCAGUAUCCUCGAUCGAUCAUCUAGCUUUUUCAGAUGCGGUCCUUCUACUUUUGCAUAUCCGAUACAUCCGAAGAUUCGCAGGUGGCUGAUGUUAGGUUUUCUUUCACGAAACAUUUCAUACGGAGUCUUGUCCUUUAGGGCCCUUGUUGAUAUCCUGUUGAGAAGAUAUGUCGAAUGCCUCACUGCUUUUCCCCACAGAAAAUUCGGAACAGAUCUAUGUUUCAUAAUGCUUCUCGUCAUCUCCAUUAAUGUCCUAUUACGUCUCUCAACAACUCCAUUUUGUUGAGGCGAAUAUGGAGCUGUAAGGUGGCGUUUUAUCCCCGAGUUGUCACAAAACGAGUUGAACUCUAUUGAUAUAAACUCACCACCUCUGUCAGUACGAAAAGUUUGGAUCUUUGAUCCUGAGUCUUGUUCCACUAAGUUCUUGAAUUUCUUGAACUUUUCAAAGGCAUCGCUUUUCUCCUUUAAUAAUAUUGUCCACAUAUACCUGGAAUAGUCAUCGAUUAGGACAAAUAUAUAUCUGUUUCCUGCAGCUGUUGAUGGUGUUAUGGGACCACAAAGGUCACCGUGAACUAACUCGAGAAUCCUGUUUGCUCGAAACAGAGUCGCUUGUGGGAACACAUGUCUCGUUUGCUUUCCAAGUAAGCAAGACUCGCAGAGAUGUUUUUCGAUGGCUAUACUUGGGAUUCCUGAUACCAGCUCCUUCUGUAUCAUGGUUUUGAUUGUGUCGACAUUCACAUGACCCAGCCUCUCAUGCCAUCUGCUUGAGCUACUUGCAAUUGUCGAAUGCAGACACUCGUCAUUCUUGAGUUCCAUGUGCACUUUGUAUAACCGGUUUCUUGAUCUUUUCGCCUUGGCUAGUAAUUUUCCAUCUCGAUCCUGCAUUAUCAAGUGUUCCCCUUUCAUCUUUACUUCACAUCCUGAUUCGGUAGCUUGUCCAAGACUAAUGAUAUUGGACUUCAGGUUUGGGAUGUAAUAAACAUCAGUCAUCUUUCUUGGUUCGACGUUCCUAUCUGUGAACUCAAUCGUUCCUUUCCCUCUAAUAUCAAUCCUGGAAUCAUCGCCAAACCGUACUUUUCCAGUUACAGAGCUAUCAAGUUGUGCAAAGUAUCGUCGAUCCCCUGUCAUGUGGUUGCUAGCUCCAUUGUCAAGGUACCACAUGUUUUCAUUGUUGGUGCUCGUUUCAUUGUUACUCGGCACAACCUUUCCUUCAUUCAGAUACACGAUUUCAUGCAUCAUUAGCUUGUCUGCGUCUUGAGUAUCUGUGUUGUCAUCUUCCUGUGCUUCUUGUAGUUUAAGCAAUCGAUCUGGACAGUUAGAGGCAAAGUGACCCAUCUUGUCACAACGGUAGCAAGUUAUUUUGGACAUAUCUCUCGGUCCAAUGUUUCUUCCCCUUCCUCUUCCUCUGCCAUAGAAGCGUCCUCCUCGACUUCUGCUUCUAUAUUCGCCAUUGGAAUCAUUAGUGGAUUGGGUAUCUGUAUUCGCAUACAUCAAUUUGCUCUGAUCUUCUUGAGCAUCUUCUUCCUCGUGGAUGCGUUCCUCGUAUGCUUUCAAACGUCCGAUUAUAUCUUCAAAGCUUGUUGUGUUAAGAUCCAACACUUGUUCAAGCGAGGCAAUGAUAUGAAUGUAUUUCUUGCGAGGGAGGCUGCUAAGGAAUUUCUUGACCAACUUCGAAUCUUCGAUGGUAUUUCCUAAGGCAGCUGAUUUGGAUGAAAUUUCUGAUAACUUGCUGCUGAAGUCAUCAAUUGUCUCAAUGUCUUUCAUCUUAAGCCGAUCCAAUUCUGACAUUAAUGUCUGCAGCCGAGCUUCUUUCACCCGUUCAGCUCCCAUGUGUCUUGUUUUAAUGGCCUCCCACACCUUCUUUGCAGUAUUCAGCUCACCGACUUGUAAAACUAGGGUUUCAGGUAUGGAUUGAAAAAUCAAUGCCAUGGCUACGUCGUUCUUUUCGGUAUCUGUUGUCUCGGUUUCUACUAUGUCCCAAACCUUGUGAACCCUAAGUAGACUCCUCAUUCUUAUGCCCCAUACCGUAUAAUUCGUAGAAUUCAGCAUCGAACAUUGAAUGGUGGAAGUGCUUGGUUCUUUAGGUCGUGGGUUCGAAUUUGGAACAAGAUCUCCCAUAGUUUGGUAUUUCAGAAUCUUCGUGAUCAAACUUCUUCUCUUAGAUCGAUCCCUUUAAGCUCUGAUACCAAUUAUAGAAAUCAAAGUUUGCUAAGAACUCAAUAACAAAGAAUAACUCUCUUUAUUAGCUUAAGAAAAUAACUCAAAACUUAAGCUCUCAAACACAAACUCAUAAGUUAUGUCACAACUUUGACAUCUCCUUAUAUAAUAACUUAUUUCCUUUUCCUAAUAGAAACAUGAUUUCCUUUUUAGAUAACUCCUAACAAAUCCUUAGAUAACUCCUAAGAUAUUCCUUAUUCUAAUAGGAAACAUAUAAGCUUGCUUCUAGAAUGUUAACUUCAAGCUUAAGUCAACAAUUAUUAGUUUAUAUGGCAUCGAUUGCAUAAAACUGAUACUAAUUUAUUUUAAAUCACAUCACUUGAACAAUAUUGAUACAAAACCAAAUUUUAUAUCAUUAGAUAAUUGAUGUAUAUAUUAGCAUCACUUGAACAAAAUAAUGCAAAUUUUGUAGCAAUUAAAAAGUGAUGCCAACAAAGAACUGAAUUAAACAAUUAAUAUAUUUAAUUUAAUUUGGUCAAAACUUAUCUGUCCCACAUCGGUUAGGAGAACUUGAGAGGAGAGAAUUGCUCUACUAUAAAAUAAACUCAUCAUUGUUAAUAAUCGUAUGAUUUUAUUAACUUCAACCAAAAUCUUCGAUAUAAAAAAAAUAUUUUUAAUAAUAAUUCUAGUUAAUUAUUGUAUGAGAGUUCACAAAAUAUAUUUAUAUUAAUAAAAAAAACAAAAGGGUUUUGAUAUAAAUUUUUAAAAUAAAUUAAAAUUUAUACCAAAAUAGCAUUUUUAACAUCAAUUAUUUAUAAUUGAUACAAAUAUUAAUAUCAUUUAUAAUAACUGAUGUAAAAUUUAAUAUCACUUAAAACAAUUGACAUAUAUUAAUAUCAAUUAUUCUAAUUGAUGUAAAUAUUUAAAAUAUUUACAUCAGUUAUUAAUGAACUGAUAUAAAGUAUUUGCAUCACCACUUUCAGAAAAAAAAUGAUGUAAAAUUCUUUUACAUCAGUUAUAAAUAAUACAAAUAAAUAAAAUAAAUGAUGUAUUAUGAUGUUUUUUUUGUAGUGAACGAGAAUUAAAGUUAUGAGAAUUUAUGAGUUUAACGGACCUAUUCCUUUUGUAGCUAAUCACUUAGAUUGCCAGUGAGAGUCGAGUAAUACUAAAUAUUAACUCUCUUUUUUUUUGACCAAAACUAAAUAUAAACUCUCGUUUAAUUGACCAAAACUAAAUAUUAACUAUCGUAGACUAUUUUAAUAUUUACAUUGUUAUAGUUCUCAUAGUUUUGCAUGUUCUAGUUUAUUUGAUUUCCUAAAUGUAAUUGCUUAUCUCGUUGAAUCUAUUGCUUGUUAGUAUCUUCUAUUUAUACUUCGUUAUAUAUAAAAAAUUAAUAAACAAAAUCGACUGUUGAAUUAGUCUUCGCUCGAGUCUUUAUCGACUACUUGAUAUCAAGUAAUCUAUAUAUACAAAAAUCAUGCUGUAGAUGAAGGUGUCUUUGGUAUAUAUGUGUACUGUAAGGCGCCUCGUUGUACUCUCAUGAUCGAUCUUAUCUUGUUUUACAUUUGUUUGUGAAGGGCAGAGGAGAACCAGCAUUGUCAUUGUCACAUGGUUUUUCUAUGGCAAUCAUGCAUUAUAAUAUAUCUAUAGGAAAAUUUGUAUUAAAUAACCUUAGAAUGACACCCAAUAAUCCGUUAAAUCUAUAAAAUAUUUCACUCACAAUGUAAACCUUAAAAUAAAUUUUUUUUUGUGCAACUAACCUUUAAAUAAAAAAAUAUUAACACAAAAACCCUCAAAUUAGUUUUUUAGUGUGCAUCUUCAAAAUAUAUAACGAAGCUGUUUAUUUAUUUUCCGUUUAAAAGUAAUGCAUGGCUUUAAAUUUAUUAUUUAAGUUAUUCUUAAUUAUUUUUAUUUUUUUGUAAAAAACUCUUAAAAAUGAAAAAAAAAAACUAAAAAUAAAUCAGACAAUGCCGGAGUUUGGCUUGUCGGUUAUCAAAUCCUAAACCGAAUCCAGGCCCAAAACCUGAUUCGAAAAGCCACGCUAUUUUCAGCAGCAUGUUUUUGAAAUUGAUGAAUUAAGAAUAAGAUCGGGAAUUUAUCCCAAAAAAAAAAAGAAUAAGAUCGGAAAGCAUGUCAGGUUCGACGGCAGAAAUCCAAGCUAGACUAUAUCCAUCGAGAAGAAAAGAUAUUCGUCAAAGAUUCCGUUUUCAAGACAAUUGUCACAGUAUAGGAAAAUUUGUGAUCAAUUGACAUGGAAAUUUAAUGAAUGGGGAAUAUAGAAAACUCUGUGAUCAAUUGACAUGAAAAUUUGAGGUUUUUGGAGAAAAUGGAUAUUGAAAAAUAAAUUUGAGUUUUGUAGUUUAUUGUAAACUUUGUGAUCAUCCGCAUAAAUAAUUAUGUAUACUCCGUUUACAAAUGUGUUUAACGUAUUAUAAUUACUUGGUCUUUUCAUUUCACCAUCCCAGCCCGUAACGAUGGGUAAUACGCAAUUUCAAUAUUUUUUAUUGAUGUUUUGUAAAUCUUAAAAUUCUUUGUUGAGGUACAUUUUUUCUUUUUGAAUGGCAACCAUUAAAAACACGAUAAUUAAUUGUAAUCAAUCAUUCACAAUUUUAUAAUAAAAUAUUUUCAUAAUAAUUUUACGGACGCUCUAGGGCUUUCCUUGAAGGCUUGAACCACUAUAAAACAUACCUCAAUCCCCUUCAUAUUCUCCACACUCAAUUCACCCACAACAUAGCUAGUGAACAGUAUCUUCUAAGCAAAAAAUGGCUUCAAGCUCCAUAGCCCUUUUCCUGGCUCUCAAUCUCCUUUUCUUCACAACUAUCUCCGCAUGCGGUAGCUGCACUCCGUGCGGUGGUGGUUGCCCCUCUCCCAAGCCAAAACCAACUCCUAAACCUAAACCAACCCCAAGCCCUAGCUCUGGCAUGAACAAGUGUCCCAAAGACACUCUCAAGCUCGGUGUCUGCGCCAAUGUGCUUAACGGCCUCCUCGACUUGACUCUCGGCAAGCCACCGGUCGAGCCAUGCUGCAGCCUCAUCCAAGGACUCGCUGAUGUUGAAGCAGCCGUUUGUCUCUGCACCGCCCUUAAGGCUAACGUUCUUGGAAUCAACUUGAACCUCCCAAUCUCUCUAAGUCUGCUCCUUAAUGUUUGCAGCAAACAAGUUCCUCCCGGCUUCCAGUG